CCUACGGGGGGCAGCAGUGGGGAAUAUUGGACAAUGGGGGAAACCCUGAUCCAGCGAUGCCGCGUGAAUGAAGACGGUCUUCGGGUUGUAAAGUUCUUUCUCACGGGACGAAAAUAGCGGUACUCUGGAAGAAAGCUCCGGCUCACUACGGGACAGCAGCCGCGGCAAUAAGUAGGGAGCAGGCGUUGUACGGAAUAAUUGGGUUUAAUGGGGGAGUAGUCUGGAGAGUAAGUUGGAGGUUAGAUCUAGGGGCUCAACCCCUAACUGCUUGGAACACUGUUCUUCUUGAGUGAAGUAGAGGCAGGCGGAAUUCCUGGUGUAGCGGUGAAAUGCGUAGAUAUUAGGCGGAACACCAGUGGCGAAGGCGGCCUGCUGGCCUUUUACUGACGCUGAGGCUCGAAAGCGUGGGUAGCGAACAGGAUUAGAUACCCUAGUAGUC
Molecule: ribosomal RNA, 439 nt
Filed under: uncultured bacterium
Lineage: Bacteria
Description: partial 16S ribosomal RNA
Rfam family: Bacterial small subunit ribosomal RNA
Source: RNAcentral